Molecule: unclassified non-coding RNA, 378 nt
Filed under: uncultured bacterium
Lineage: Bacteria
Description: contains 16S-23S intergenic spacer region
Source: RNAcentral
UCACUGCUUGCGCAGGCAGUCUCUUUAGAGUCCCCACCAUAAUGUGCUGGCAACUAAAGAUAGGGGUUGCGCUCGUUGCGGGACUUAACCCAACACCUCACGGCGCGAGCUGACGACAGCCAUGCAGCACCUUGCUUUGUGUCCCGAAGGAAAGGUGUGUUUCCACACCGGUCACCUACAUGUCAAGCCCAGGUAAGGUUCGUCGCGUUGCGUCGAAUUAAAGAACAUGCUCCGCUGCUUGUGCGGGCCCCCGUCAAUUCUUUUGAGUUUUAGCCUUGCGGCCGUACUCCCCAGGCGGGACACUUAACGCGUUAACUGCGGCACAGAGGGAUUCGACUCCCCCCACACCUAGUGUCCAUCGUUUACGGCUAGGACUAC